UACGGGGGGAGCAAGCGUUGUUCGGAUUUCCUGGGCGUAAAGCGUGCGUAGGCGGUUAUUUAAGUCGGGUGUGAAAGCCCCGGGCUCAACCUGGGAAUUGCAUUCGAGACUGAAUAGCUAGGGUACGGUAGAGGGAAGCGGAAUUUCCGGUGUAGCGGUGAAAUGCGUAGAUAUCGGAAGGAACAUCAGUGGCGAAAGCGGCUUCCUGGACCAGUACCGACGUUCAGGCACGAAAGCGUGGGGAGCAAACAGG
Molecule: ribosomal RNA, 253 nt
Filed under: uncultured bacterium
Lineage: Bacteria
Description: partial 16S ribosomal RNA
Rfam family: Bacterial small subunit ribosomal RNA
Source: RNAcentral